CUGGGCCGGAAGUGACGUCGGCGCGCGGGCGGAAGUGGGAGAGGCUGGUGUCGGCCAGACUGAGCGCAGGACUGGCCGCCGCUUCCAUGGCGCACAUCACCAUCAACCAGUACUUGCAGCAGGUUUAUGAAGCAAUUGACAGCAGAGAUGGAACGUCUUGUGCAGAGUUGGUGUCUUUUAAGCAUCCUCAUGUUGCGAACCCACGGCUUCAACUGCCGUCUCCAGAAGAGAAGUGUCAGCAAGUUCUGGAACCUCCUUACGAUGAAAUGUUUGCGGCUCAUUUGAGGUGCACUUACGCAGUGGGGAACCAUGAUUUCAUAGAAGCAUACAAAUGUCAGACUGUGAUCGUCCAAUCGUUCCUGCGAGCAUUUCAGGCCCACAAAGAAGAAAAUUGGGCUUUGCCCAUCAUGUAUGCAGUAGCACUUGACCUUCGAGUAUUUGCCAAUAAUGCGGAUCAACAGUUGGUAAAGAAAGGAAAAAGCAAAGUUGGGGACAUGUUGGAAAAAGCAGCAGAAUUAUUGAUGAGCUGUUUUCGUGUCUGUGCCAGUGACACUCGUGCUGGUAUAGAGGAUUCUAAGAAGUGGGGAAUGCUCUUUCUGGUGAAUCAGUUAUUUAAAAUUUAUUUUAAGAUCAAUAAACUCCAUUUGUGUAAACCUCUAAUUAGAGCAAUCGACAGCUCAAAUCUGAAAGAUGAUUAUACCACCGCCCAGAGAGUUACAUACAAAUACUAUGUUGGACGCAAGGCUAUGUUUGAUAGUGACUUUAAGCAAGCUGAGGAAUAUCUGUCAUUUGCCUUUGAGCAUUGUCACCGCUCAAGUCAGAAGAACAAACGGAUGAUCCUGAUAUAUUUGCUUCCAGUAAAAAUGCUGUUGGGUCACAUGCCAACUAUUGAACUUUUGAAAAAAUAUCAUCUUAUGCAGUUUGCUGAAGUCACCAAAGCUGUAAGUGAAGGCAACCUCUUACUGCUGAACGAAGCUCUGAGCAAACAUGAGACGUUUUUCAUUCGUUGUGGCAUUUUCCUUAUUCUUGAAAAGCUGAAGAUCAUCACCUACAGAAACCUUUUUAAAAAAGUGUAUUUGUUACUCAAAACACACCAGUUGUCUCUUGAUGCUUUUCUAGUUGCCUUGAAAUUCAUGCAAGUAGAAGACGUGGAUAUUGAUGAAGUCCAGUGUAUUUUGGCUAAUCUCAUAUAUAUGGGUCACAUUAAAGGCUACAUAUCACAUCAGCAUCAGAAGCUGGUUGUGAGCAAGCAAAAUCCAUUCCCCCCACUGUCUACAGUUUGUUGACUGUACAGCUGUGAAGAUGGAAGGAGCAUUUCGUUACUUGUGUUUCUAAUGAGGCUGCCGAAGUCAGCACUGACAGCAUCAGUCAUGUUACUCACGGAAGCUUUUCAAGGCCCCCCUUUCAGGGAUGGGUAUGCAUAUUUCCUCUCUUCAUGAAAAAAUUGCUAAUGAAGAAAACUUGCUAAGAAACUGUCUUAGCUCAUCUUUGUAAAGUCAUCAAAUUUGAAAGCAGCUCUUUGUGCAGAGGAAUCAUUCUAUAAAUUUUGAAUUCCCUUUUAUUCUGUAGUAGCUACAUAGCUGAAGACUUCCAUUUGUGUACCUGGCGCCUCUGUCAGGUUCCUCCUGCUGUAUAACAAACCACUCCACAACUUGGUGGCCUCAAGUAACACACUCAUUAAUUUUGCUCAUAAAUCUGCAGUUUGUUAGGGCUCAGUGAGGACAGUUUGUCUCUGCUUCGUGUGGCAUCAUUUGGGGCGACCGUGCUGGGGGCUCGAUGGUCCACUUCCAGGAUGGCACACUCGUGUGGCAGGCACGUUGGUGCUGCAGUCCAGGGUCUGCAGUUCCACUUUACGUGGGCCUCUCCAAAGGCUCCUUGGGCUUUGUUAUGGCGUGGUAGCUGGGUUCCAAGAGUGAGUAUCCCAAAAGAAGCAGGUGGAAGCUAUGUCAGCAUUGAUGACCUAGUCUCCUUAGUUGUGUAGUAUAAGUUCUGCUUUAGUCACAUCCAGAUUCAAGCUGGGAGAACAUAAACUCCACUUCUAAACUCUGAACGUAGAAUAACGUAGCAGAUUUCAUGCAGGUGAAUCCUUGUUGGCCUCUAGAGCUGUUUCUCUGCCCACUCGGCAGCAAGGUAAACCGAGCCACCAGUUUCCAUAACAGAAAAGUGUGGCCACUAGGGCAGCCGCAGAACGAUUGCACACUGGCAAGACCAGCUCCGGGGCGUGUGCUAUAUUUCUGUAUGUUUUCUGUAGUAGGUUUAUCUCCACUGGGCCACUCUUCUCUAACAGCAUCACCUGUGGAAAUCUGAUCUUUCCACCGCUCAGCAGAAGACCUCAACCAUCCUUCAACAUCCAGUUGUUAAAGUUUUGUUUUUAUUAGUAAUUUGAAUAUUUGAAUUUCUAUAACCAUGAAUUUCAUACGUCUGGUUUUAAUAGUAGAAAGCUGAGGUUUGUCAACAUUUUCAGGCAAUUUAUUGAAUAGUGACAGUUUAAGGCAAUAUAUGUUUACAGUUAGCAAUAAAUUCACUUGCGUAUAUAUACUGUUUGUAUAAAAGUCUGUGUGCAGAGUGGCCUAGGUCAAGUACAGGAGCAUACACAAAGACAUUUAACAUUGUGUUUGUUUAUCACAGACAUCAAAUAA
Molecule: RNA transcript, 2639 nt
Organism: Loxodonta africana (African savanna elephant)
Lineage: Eukaryota; Metazoa; Chordata; Mammalia; Proboscidea; Elephantidae
Gene: PCID2
Gene name: PCI domain containing 2
Exons: 15
Source: RefSeq, a predicted model, not a curated record